UACGUAGGCAGCAAGCGUUGUUCGGAGUUACUGGGCGUAAAGGGUGCGUAGGCGGCUCUGUAAGUAUGGGUGUGAAAUCUCCCGGCUUAACUGGGAGGGUGCGCUAUAGACUGCGGGGCUCGAGUGUGGGAGAGGAAAGUGGUAUUCCUGGUGUAGCGGUGAAAUGCGUAGAUAUCAGGAGGAACACCGGUGGUGUAAACGCUUUCUGGACCAUAAACUGACGUGGAGGCAACGAAAAGCGUGGGUAGCAAACAGG
This 256-nucleotide ribosomal RNA is filed under the name uncultured bacterium. RNAcentral's name for it is "partial 16S ribosomal RNA". It matches the Rfam family "Bacterial small subunit ribosomal RNA", at positions 524 to 776 of the family's 1533-position model. The record is from RNAcentral.